This is a microRNA precursor of Rhinopithecus bieti (black snub-nosed monkey), 96 nucleotides long. Lineage: Eukaryota; Metazoa; Chordata; Mammalia; Primates; Cercopithecidae. The record is from Ensembl.
CCUGAACAGAUGCAUGCAUACUUGUCCUGCCCUCACUGGGGACCCCCUUCCUCCUGGGUACUAGACAGAAUUCUAUGCACUUUCCUGGAGGCUCCA